RNAcentral lists this ribosomal RNA (472 nucleotides) under uncultured bacterium. Its description in RNAcentral is "partial 16S ribosomal RNA". It matches the Rfam family "Bacterial small subunit ribosomal RNA", at positions 355 to 817 of the family's 1533-position model. The record is from RNAcentral.
UGGGGAAUCGUUCCGCAAUGGACGAAAGUCUGACGGAGCAACGCCGCGUGUAUGAUGAAGGUCUUCGGAUUGUAAAGUACUGUCAUUGGGGAAGAACGGUUUUCUUGAAAAGAUUGAGAAGACAUGACGGUACCCAAGGAGGAAGCCCCGGCUAACUACGUGCCAGCAGCCGCGGUAAUACGUAGGGGGCAAGCGUUGUCCGGAAUUAUUGGGCGUAAAGGGCGCGUAGGCGGGCCUUUAAGUCCGGUGUGAAAGAUCAGGGCUCAACCCUGAGAGUGCAUCGGAAACUGGAGGCCUUGAGGACAGGAGAGGAAAGUGGAAUUCCACGUGUAGCGGUGAAAUGCGUAGAUAUGUGGAGGAACACCAGUUGCGAAGGCGACUUUCUGGACUGUAACUGACGCUGAGGCGCGAAAGCGUGGGGAGCAAACAGGAUUAGAUACCCUGGUAGUCCACGCCGUAAACGAUGAGUGCU